Cyprinus carpio carpio is the source of this 1128-nucleotide long non-coding RNA. The record is from Ensembl. NCBI's taxonomy places the organism in Eukaryota, Metazoa, Chordata, Actinopteri, Cypriniformes, Cyprinidae.
CUGAGGUUUCCCUUGACAGAGGGAAAUGCAAUGAUUUUCUCAGUGAUCUGAAUCCUCCCACAUUACCAAUAUCUGCUCAAGAAUCACUAGAUGCACAAGAGCUCUCUCUACAAUUUUUUUUUUUUUUUUUUUUUUAAUCAGUCAGAAAAUUAAGAAGGACAUACAGAGGUGGGACAACUUAAGAAUGUCAAUGCAAGCUAGAAUCAGUACAGGGCCAUGCAUGUCUGGGUGGACACCCACUCCAAAGUACCCUGGAGGAGUAUUGAGUCUGACCAUGUUCUCCCCCAUAGGCUUCAAGAUCUGCCUUUUAGUGGUGUAGGCUCAAGAAACUUACACCAGAAGUGGAACCGGAAACAUUAUUUUAACUACUUUAAAAGCCUGGUUUAAUGCAGAAAAUAUUACAGGUCACAUUUAAAAAAUCUCAUGUCAGUCUCUUCUCUGGAACAAUACCCACCUGUUAUCUGGUAAUCAACUUUUCAGUUACCCUCCCUGGUCCUUAAAAGGUGUGCUCACAUUUGGUGAUAUAUUUAAUUGACUGUGGACUGCCCACUGUUCAAGAUAUUCAAGCAGAUGACUCCUUGCCAGGUACCUCCUUUUUAUGUAUCUGAAAUUAAGGUGCCCUGGAAUUCUAGCUUAGAUGAUCACCCAUUGUUAAAGUGGAUCAAAAACACUGGACACUGUCAGGGCACAGUCUCCCUGAUCUAUAAGCAACUACUUGAAUGCUCAUAUAAGUCCUUGAAGAUACUAGCGGUGUUGGAGAGAGAACUCUCCUGACACCACGGGACUGAGCUGGAGGCAGGCAAUUUUCUUGUGUCUGGAGAGCAUCCGGCCCCAAUACAGAAAUCAAGCAGACCCAGAGCCCAGCCAACCAUCACUCUGCUACAUGAAGCAUUUGCUUGAGCCCACUGCAGACAGAGAGCCAAAGCUCUGUUAGUACGGACAUUCUGUUUGUUCUGUUGUCACCGUCUUGUUAGUUAUCAUGGUUUUUGAUUUGACUUCCUUAUUCUGUUCACCUGUCUCGUUUAUCAUCAUUAUUUGCCUGUGUGCUUAGGUGCUGUCUGUUCAAUCUGAGUUGGUCAGGUAUUAUAAACGUCAAUGUGGACGUGUGUUGCCAGCCUUCCUCGUGUG